Long non-coding RNA from Homo sapiens (human), 218 nucleotides. RefSeq lists it as uncharacterized. The record is from RefSeq and is a predicted model, not a curated record. The transcript is spliced from 3 exons. NCBI's taxonomy places the organism in Eukaryota, Metazoa, Chordata, Mammalia, Primates, Hominidae.
AUUAGCUAAUACAAAUCUUACAUAAGAAAAUUAUUAGUAUCCCCAUUUCAUAGAUGAAGAAACAAAGGCACAGAAAGGUAAAAUGAAUACGUUUGGUCAGAAGCAGAAGUUGACCACAUGAUGGAAAAUACAAUUAUUAGCUCUUCUCCCUCAUAGGAAGAAGCUACGUCGCUUUCUGCAAGUCUCUUAACUCUUAAGGAACCUACACUCCCAUCUCC